Molecule: long non-coding RNA, 1227 nt
Organism: Oncorhynchus keta (chum salmon)
Lineage: Eukaryota; Metazoa; Chordata; Actinopteri; Salmoniformes; Salmonidae
Exons: 6
Source: RefSeq, a predicted model, not a curated record
GAGGGUAUUUCACAUCAAAUGGAGCACUCCAGUAAUGGACCACUUUGGUAAAUGAAGGAGAGGAUUGGAUCACUAAACUUUCUAUAGAACAAUUAAGACAAAGGUGAGGGGAUUGGACAGCAAAAAGGCUCUGCAUUGUGAAAAUAGGUCUACACGUUGAUUGGGUAACAAAACGCUCUGCAUUGUGAAAAUAUGUCUACACGUUGAUUGGGCAACAAAACGCUCUGCAUUGUGAAAAUAUGUCUACACGUUGAUUGGGCAACAAAACGCUCUGCAUUGUGAAAAUAGGUCUACACGUUGAUUGGGCAACAAAACGCUCUGCAUUGUGAAAAUAUGUCUACACGUUGAUUGGGCAACAAAACAAAACGCUCUGCAUUGUGAAAAUAUGUCUACACGUUGAUUGGGCAGCAAAACGCUCUGCAUUGUGAAAAUAGGUCUACACGUUGAUUGGGCAGCAAAACGCUCUGCAUUGUGAAAAUAGGUCUACACGUUGAUUGGGCAGCAAAACGCUCUGCAUUGUGAAAAUAGGUCUACACGUUGAUUGGGCAGCAAAACGCUCUGCAUUGUGAAAAUAGGUCUACACGUUGAUUGGGCAGCAAAACGCUCUGCAUUGUGAAAAUAGGUCUACACGUUGAUUGGGCAGCAAAACGCUCUGCAUUGUGAAAAUAGGUCUACACGUUGAUUGGGCAGCAAAACGCUCUGCAUUGUGAAAAUAGGUCUACACGUUGAUUGGGCAGCAAAACGCUCUGCAUUGUGAAAAUAGGUCUACACGUUGAUUGGGGCUGCAAAAGGAACAAUGCCUCCCUUCCAAUGACAGUGCUUCUUGGGUAACAGAACUGUGGCCACUGUCCUCUCAUCAUGCUCUUGCAUACCACUGAUAAACCAAUUAAAAACGUAUCUAUAUCUAAAACCUAUCUAGCUAUGUAGAAAGUGUUCUUAACUGACACUUGCCUAGUUAAAUAAAGCUGAAAUGUAAAAAUAAAAAUAAAUGUAAAUACAUUUCUCUACACACAGAUUUCAACACAACAUUUCUCUAUACACAGAUUUGAGCAGAACUGCUAAGUUGACAAUGGAAUCCAGGAUGUGAGUUAGUGAUCUGGAUUCAUGUAUAGAAUUAAACUGAAAGAAUGACGCUUUCAUUUUUUGGUGUUCUUCACAUGGCUACUGGCUAAUGCUACUGCAACAAUUUACAGAUUUAUCAUGAUAAAAAAAUAAAUAAAUAAAAAA